Molecule: small RNA, 547 nt
Filed under: uncultured fungus
Lineage: Eukaryota; Fungi
Description: eukaryotic LSU rRNA
Rfam family: 5.8S ribosomal RNA (bases 176-329)
Source: RNAcentral
UGUCCCUGGCCGCCUACACCCACUAUACAUCCACAAACCCGUGUGCACUGUCUUGGAGAAAGGCUUCAGAGAAGUUUUUUGUGGCCUCCCUUGGGGUCUUUCUUCGCUACAAACUCGAAUGGUUAGUAUGAACGUGGAACUUGGUUGGACCGUCACUGGCCAACAAACUAUACACAACUUUCGACAACGGAUCUCUUGGUUCUCCCAUCGAUGAAGAACACAGCGAAACGCGAUAGGUAAUGUGAAUUGCAGAAUUCCGUGAAUCAUCGAAUCUUUGAACGCACCUUGCGCUCUAUGGCAAUCCGUAGAGCAUGCCUGUUUGAGUGCCAUGAAAUCUCCCACCCCAAGCGGUUUUUAAAUGAAACGGCUUGGCGGAUGGGGUCUGGAUGGGUGCCUCUGCCUGCGCUACCCUGCACAGGCUCGCCCGAAAUGCAUGAGCGCCUUGAGACACUUUGCAUCCGCCUCUCUGUUUGGGAGGAGGCGGCCAAGCAGUGUUUUUCUCCUGGCAUGGCAUGAUACGUCAUUUGCUAUGUCGCCUAAAGGAGGA